UACCAAACCCUCUCCACUCUCAAGAACAAGAUCAAAUUUGGGUCUUCAUCAAAGAUCAAGAAUUCAAGCCUCUAAGUCCAAGAAUUCCAAGAAAUUGAUUGAGAUUCAGAUUCCAUUUUUCUAACUACAAAAUCUAAGGAUAAAAUGAACGUUGUCAUAGCUACUGCUCUUUAGGGAUCAACAGAUAAUUCAUCAAAAGAUCAAGAACUUGAUAUAAAUCGCAAGUACUUUGAUAUUGUGGGUGGAGCAAAAAAACGUGUGUAUGGAUUGGGAUCUGAAGCUUUAACCUUGCAUAAAGAUAUGACAUGCAAUUUGCCUAUAGCGUCCGAUCAUGUUGCCGAAAAGCGCAUCAAAAUCUAUAGAGGUGCAACAACGAGUAGAGCAAGAGGUUUCCCGUUUGAGGCAACAAAAAGAUGAUCGAUUCAAAUCUACGGAGGAGCAAUGGUCUCGCAUGAUGAGCGACAUAACAUUAUCUUCUCGCUCAUUUAGUAAUCCUACUCUCCCAAAUAGGGACUCAUCUAAUGCUUAAGUGUUUAAUAUUUUGAGAUUUUAGUUAGUUGAAGUGUCGAAACAUUGUCACACUUUUUUGGAUGGUUAUAUGCUUUAAAUUUUAAACAUUGGUAGACCUUUGCUUAUUGAA
Capsicum annuum is the source of this 640-nucleotide long non-coding RNA. RefSeq lists it as uncharacterized. The record is from RefSeq and is a predicted model, not a curated record. NCBI's taxonomy places the organism in Eukaryota, Viridiplantae, Streptophyta, Magnoliopsida, Solanales, Solanaceae. The transcript is spliced from 2 exons.